RNAcentral lists this transfer RNA (82 nucleotides) under Dallia pectoralis (Alaska blackfish). RNAcentral's name for it is "tRNA-Leu". It matches the Rfam family "tRNA". From Rfam's summary of the family: Transfer RNA (tRNA) molecules are approximately 80 nucleotides in length. Their secondary structure includes four short double-helical elements and three loops (D, anti-codon, and T loops). Lineage: Eukaryota; Metazoa; Chordata; Actinopteri; Esociformes; Umbridae. The record is from RNAcentral.
GGUAGUGUGGCCGAGCGGUCUAAGGCGCUGGAUUUAGGCUCCAGUCUCUUCGGAGGCGUGGGUUCAAAUCCCACCACUGCCA